UGGGGAAUAUUGGACAAUGGGCGCAAGCCUGAUCCAGCCAUGCCGCGUGAGUGAUGAAGGCCUUAGGGUUGUAAUGCUCUUUUUGGCGGGGACGAUAAUGACGGUACCCGCAGAAUAAGCCCCGGCUAACUUCGUGCCAGCAGCCGCGGUAAUACGAAGGGGGCUAGCGUUGUUCGGAAUUACUGGGCGUAAAGCGCACGUAGGUGGAUAGUUAAGUGAGGGGUGAAAGCCCGAGGCUCAACCUCGGAAUUGCCUCUCAUACUGGCUGUCUCGAGUCCGAGAGAGGUGGGUGGAAUUCCUAGUGUAGAGGUGAAAUUCGUAGAUAUUAGGAAGAACACCGGUGGCGAAGGCGGCCCACUGGCUCGGUACUGACACUGAGGUGCGAAAGCGUGGGGAGCAAACAGGAUUAGAUACCCCAGUAGUCCCUGAGCGGGCUGGCAAGGCGCAU
This 448-nucleotide ribosomal RNA is filed under the name uncultured bacterium. Its description in RNAcentral is "bacterial SSU rRNA". It matches the Rfam family "Bacterial small subunit ribosomal RNA", at positions 355 to 825 of the family's 1533-position model. The record is from RNAcentral.